CAGAAUGAACAGUAGGAAAUGGGAUGAGUAGGAGGAAAAAACGCUAAGAGGAGAGAAGUGACUGGGAUAGCGGAGAGGAGGAAGGAUCCGGAGCAACGGGAGAAAGAGCCGAACGUGGGAUCAACGAAACCGCGGGAAAAGGAGGAGGAACGACCAGACUGAUCUCAGUUCUUAUUCAGCUGGAAGAAAUGCCAGUUACAUAAAGAAUGCUGUGGAAAUACAGUUUGGAAUCAUCAUUGUUACUCCUUCUUCAAGACCGGAAUGAUGGAAAGAAUUUCAGCAUGUACGUUAAGCUCACGAACAAACUGAACACAUUAGACAUCCGCAUCCAGACGCACACAGCUGGCACGGCACUUAGAUGCCACUGACAAUGCCCUGGCAACCGAUGGGCACGUCGCCAAGCCAGCAAGUUGCCAAGCAGCGAGUUCCCAUAGCAACCUGCCAUUCGCUGGCUUUUUGAAUAAGGUAUAUGCAGACAGACACACAGGCUUAUGGGAGGGAGAUGGAUUUAGGUGAGGUGAAGAGUAGAGGAAGAGUGACAGAAGAAAUAAAAGGGAAAAAGAGAUAAAAAAGAGAUGAGAG
Long non-coding RNA from Cyprinus carpio (common carp), 582 nucleotides. Lineage: Eukaryota; Metazoa; Chordata; Actinopteri; Cypriniformes; Cyprinidae. The record is from Ensembl.